GUUUGUUGUAAAUGGCGGCGUUAACGUGAGCGUCCUAAGGUAGCGCGAUAAUUUGCUUUUUAAUUGAAGGAUGGUAUGAAAGGGUUAACGAAGAAGAUGCUGUAUCUAAAAAUUUAAUUUAAACUAACUUUAAGGUGAAGAGGCCUUUAUGUAAAAGAAGGACGACAAGACCCUAUGAAGCUUUAUCUUAAUUGAAGGUUUUAGGCUUUUAUACGAUUUUGAUGGGAGAUCAGUAAAAAUAAGUCUUUUACUAUAACGUUAAUCUUACUAGAAUUUACUAAUUUUAUAUGUGUGAUUAGCUACUCUAGGGAUAACAGCGCAAUUUCCCCCGAAAGAUGGUAUUGGAGGGGAAGAUUGCGACCUCGAUGUUGGCUUUAG
RNAcentral lists this ribosomal RNA (378 nucleotides) under Mytilus edulis (blue mussel). RNAcentral's name for it is "partial 16S ribosomal RNA". It matches the Rfam family "Bacterial large subunit ribosomal RNA", at positions 1916 to 2541 of the family's 2925-position model. The record is from RNAcentral. Lineage: Eukaryota; Metazoa; Mollusca; Bivalvia; Mytilida; Mytilidae.